ACAGAUGAGACUGUUGCCCGGAAGAAGGUGCGGAUGGACAAAGAGAAAGACGGCUUUCCCACCAGCAGCCUGAGUGAGAUUAUACUGCUCUUGCGUCUUCUUCAUCCCAACAUUGUGGAACUGAAGGAGGUGGUUGUGGGCAACCACCAGGAGAGCAUCUUCCUGGUGAUGGGUUACUGUGAGCAAGAUCUGGCUAGCCUCCUGGAGAACAUGCCAACACCCUUUUCUGAGGCCCGGGUUAAAUGCAUCAUGCUACAGGUGCUUCGGGGCCUUCAGUACCUGCACAGGAACUUCAUCAUCCACGGGGACCUGAAGGUAUCCAACUUGCUCAUGGCGGAUAAGGGCUGUGUACAGACAGCGGAUUUGGGCCUGGCUUGGGCCUAUGGUGUCCCAGUAAAGCCAAUGACCCUCCAAGGUUGUUACCCUCUGGUACCAAGCCCCAGAGCUGCUGCUGGGACUCUACCAGACUACCAGUGUUGACAUGUGGGCCGUUGGCUGCAUCCUGUCAGAGCUGCUGGUCCAUAAGCCCCUUCUCCCUGGCACUUCCGAGAUCCACCAGAUUGACUUGAUCGUACAGCUCCUGGGGACACCCAGUGAGAAUAUCUGGCGGGGCUUCUCCAAGCUGAGGCUGGCGGGCCAGUACAGCUUGAGGAAACAGCCUUACAACAAUCUCAAGCACAAGUUCCGUGGCUCUCAGAGGCUGAACUUCGUCUGCUCAGUUUCCUCUUCAUGUAUGACCCUAAGAAACGGGCAACAACAGGGGACUGCCUGGAGAGCUCCUACUUCAAGGAGAAGCCCCUACCCUGUGAACCAGAGCUCAUGCCUACCUUCCCCCACCACCGCAAUAAGCAUGCUGCCCCAGCUGUCGUGGAAGGGCAGAGCAAACGAUGUAAGUCCUGA
Nannospalax galili (Upper Galilee mountains blind mole rat) is the source of this 900-nucleotide RNA transcript. It is a transcript of the gene named cyclin-dependent kinase 10 pseudogene, with no coding region annotated. The record is from RefSeq and is a predicted model, not a curated record. Lineage: Eukaryota; Metazoa; Chordata; Mammalia; Rodentia; Spalacidae. The transcript has a single exon.